UUUCGAAUCAUUCACAAUGGGCGAAAGCCUGAUGGUGCGACGCCGCGUGAGGGAUGAAGGUCUUCGGAUUGUAAACCUCUGUCACCGGGGAAGAAACGCUUUGAGUUAAUAGUUCAAAGCCUGACUUAACCCGGAGAGGAAGCAGUGGCUAACUCUGUGCCAGCAGCCGCGGUAAUACAGAGACUGCAAGCGUUAUUCGGAUUCACUGGGCGUAAAGGGUGCGCAGGCGGCCGAGUGUGUGAGGCGUGAAAGCCCGAUGCUUAACAUCGGAAUUGCACCUCAAACUACACGGCUAGAGCAUUGGAGAGGGUAGCAGAAUUCAUGGUGUAGCAGUGAAAUGCGUAGAUAUCAUGAGGAAUACCAGAGGCGAAGGCGGCUACCUGGACAAUUGCUGACGCUCAGGCACGAAAGCGUGGGGAGCAAAAG
This 426-nucleotide ribosomal RNA is filed under the name uncultured Opitutus sp. Its description in RNAcentral is "bacterial SSU rRNA". It matches the Rfam family "Bacterial small subunit ribosomal RNA", at positions 355 to 774 of the family's 1533-position model. The record is from RNAcentral. Lineage: Bacteria; Pseudomonadati; Verrucomicrobiota; Opitutia; Opitutales; Opitutaceae.